Molecule: long non-coding RNA, 4999 nt
Organism: Leopardus geoffroyi (Geoffroy's cat)
Lineage: Eukaryota; Metazoa; Chordata; Mammalia; Carnivora; Felidae
Exons: 2
Source: RefSeq, a predicted model, not a curated record
UGGCGCUCGGCGGCCCCCACCCCCGGCGCGGGCUGCGGCGGAGGGCGGGGCGCGGCGCGGGGAGCGGAGCCGAGAGCGGGAGCGCAGGGAGGCUCUUUGUUCUGUAAUCCCAGUAAGAUUGCCAGCCAUUCGCCCCGGCCCUAAUCCCAGCCCCGCGCAACACCACCCUCCAUUGGCUGCCAUUUACAUACGGGAUUAGCCCGCCCGGCCCGCCCCGCGCCCCGGCCUGGGCACCGCGGGGGGAGCGCCGCGCCCCCGCCCCGCCCCCGGCGCCCCGAGCGCGCGCCGCCCCAGCGCCCGCCGCCAGGGGGGCCUGCGGGAGGGGCGCCCGCGGCCUCGGCGCCCCCUGGCUGCCCGGCGACGCCCCUCCGCCUCCCCAGCGCCCCGUCAGGGGCGGAUUAGGAAGCCGGGACGCGGGGUUCCCGGGGCGCAGGGUCAAGGUCACUCAGCGGGCGCGGGGAGACACCCUGGAGCAGGGCCCGGCGCCCUGCGCGGCGGAGGCAGCGGCGGCGGUGGAGAACCGAAGUCGUCGGCUGACUGGUCACUCCCACCUUGCCCAGGUUGGCUUCCGGUGGCCGGUCCAGGUACCUCUUUCAGCCUUUGUCCCCGGGGAUGUGAAGGAAGGCAGUGGCCUGCCCAAGGUCGCAGCAGAUCCAGCUGGAGGCUCCAAGGCCCAUCUUGCCUGGGCAGCCCUCCUUCUGAUCCCCGACUCAGGCGUUUGCCACCCCCUUCCCCUACCAUACCAGCCGUCCUACGGAAUCAGGGAGCACACCUCUCAUCCUGUCCAAAGCCGCGCAUCUUCAUUCAGUAGAGGGAGUGGUGCCCCGAGCCCCGUGCUGGGCCCUUGCUAUGCUGGGCACUCCUGGGAGGGACACGAGGCAGGCAGGCCCCAACCCCAGGGAACCCCUGGCCUAGAUGGAGAGAGCCAGAUGGAGAUUGAGAACCUUCGAGGUCCCAGCAAAGCCCACGGAGUCUUCCCCCAACCUCCUUGGGGCCCUGCUGGGCGCACAGCGGGCACUUGGUAAAGGAUAAACUUGGCUGGGCAGGUCUAGCCCACAAGCCCAUCAGACAGAGCUUUUUUGGGGCAGGCCAGGUCCACAGUGCCCAGCCCAAGGCCAAGCCCAGAGGGGCCCCUGGUGCCCAGAACGCCUUGCCCACGGUGUUGGUCAGAGGAGUGGGAGUGAGGAAUGAGGCCACAGAAGCCCCCUUCAUCACACACUGCCUUUUGCCCUCUCGGGGGUACCUCCCUAUCCCCCUCAUCACCAGAAGGCCUGGGGGACAUCCUGACACCCUGUUGUUGUACUGGCCUCGUUUUACAAUGAGGGGAGGUGACCCGUUUAGGGACAUACAGCAUGUGCAUGGCGCGGCUGGGACUGUCUCCAUAGCCCCCGUUGAGCCCACUGGCCUACGGUCCAUCCAUCCAACUGCAAUGGUGGUAAGGCGUGGCCUCAGUGGGACCAGCUGGGGCAAACUGGUCAGGAGGGGCUGGCUGGGCUGUUGGUUUCUAGGGAGAAUGCUUUCCAGACCCCCAAGUCCUGGGGCAGAGUGCCGGAAGCCUGUGUGCCCCAGGGCCUGGAGGAGCUGAGAGGCCUGGUGGGGAGGGAGUACCGGUGUGUGCUCACUACUGCCCUCUGCAGGCAGAAUCCAGAGCAGCAAUAAUGCGAGUGGGGUGUUGCUGACGGAUGCCCUCUUCCAACCUCUGGGCUGUUCUUCCCCGUCCAGAACAGCCAGUCUGCCCCCAACCUUGCCCAGGCAGACUGGGGGGCAGCGGGCCACAGCAGAAGGCCUUGGCCCGGCACGUCUAGGCCCUGCCCCGCUACGUGUGACUAGGGUAUGACCCCUGGCUUCACAUUCAUUAACUGUAUGUCCUAGGCCAAGGCGAUUGCCCUCUCUGGGCCUCAGCUUCCUGAUCUGUAAUAUGGAGCCAAGGUACUCCUUUCUCUGUGUGAUGAUUGGGAGGGCUGAAUGACAUGUGCCACAGGGGAGAUGCUUAGUGUAGUGCCUGCUGGGUAGUAGGUACUCGGCAGGGAGUAGUUCUCAAUUUUUUAAUUUGUUGGCUUCUUCUAGGGGCAAAGCCCCACUCAGAGUCUUGCUGGACCGGGUCUUCCUGCGGAGGUGAGGAUUCUAAGGACAAGGUCAGGGGCAUUCCAUUUUUGUCAAGUUCGGUUCCUUCCCUGGAGAAGGGCAGCAGGAGUUCCCUCAGUUGGGAGGGGAGUUAGGUUGAGAAGUCUUUGCUGGUGGCUGCUCCCCGCCUAUAGGAGCCUCCACUGGCCUCACCCUCCCUCAGGCCUGGCUGCAUCCCUGUCCUACACAGAUGUGGAAACUGAGGCUGCUCUCACUGCCUUCCCCUUCAUAACCUGGAAGUCAAGGACUCCUUCCAUCACAAAGCCUCUUCCGUGCCCUCGUUCAUCCCACCUUCCUGACAACCCUUCCGGCAGGUGGACCUGACAAUCCCCAUUUCACAGAUGGGAACGUAAGAUGCCAGGGCAUCUGCGGAAAGCAUGCCUCCUGUUCCAUCGUGGAAAUCAAAGGGAAAAUAAGAUUCAGUGUAUGGAACGUGCAGGACCCAUAGAACCCGUAGCCCAGAUGGUAAAUGUUAUCCCUACCGGCCAGGGUGCUCAGGUGAUAUGGGGGCCGCAUGGCACCAAAGGGUAGCUGAUGGGCUUGCUUGGGGACCUCCAAAUCCUCCCCCCGCCUCCCAAGGCGGGCCAUCCCCCAGGUCACCAGCAGCAAUUCUUUUCAUUCCCAAAUCUUUCUUUCCGUGGCUUAUCCAGGCCACCAAGGACAAAGAUCAUUUCCUUCUCUGGGGUAUUUGAUCCGUAGAGUCACCUCUCAGAGUCCUCCGAGGCUUCCGGACCCCAACAAAAUAGAGCCCACAUUCUGGGAUUUCAGGCACCGAAGCUGGCAAGCUGGGGUGGGAAGCCAGGAGGUCUUCCGCGAGGACACGGGCAGAUCUGCGCUUCAGCCUCCCAGGCCCCAGGGUUUGGCCCUGGUAAGUAGUCUGGGGCAGCGCUGGCCAACAGAAAUAGAACGCGAGCCACAAAUGCACACCGCAGAGGAAAUUUUAAAUUUCCUCGUAGUUUGCAAAAAUGAGAAAGGAACAGGUGAGAUUAAUUUUAACGAUAUAUUUUAUGUAACCUGACAUAUCCAAAUUGUAUUCGUUUGAGCACGUAAUAAUAUUUUUAAAGACUGAGAUGUUUUCCGUCCUUUCCCUCGUACGAAGUCUUCGAUACCCAAUGUCUGUUGUAACACAACACAUCUCAGUUUGGACAAGACAGGCUUUCAUAUGUGGCUGGCGGCUAAGGGGUCACCUGGAAGCGUGGUCUCAGCUCGCUGCUGAUUUGGAAGAUCCUGGGCCUCAGGUUCCUCGCCUCGUGUGCCUGUGAAAGGUGCAGGUCCGGGCCCUUCCAGGAGAUGUGUUGGCUCAGACACUGGCCGGGUGGGAGAGAGGCCCGGGGACUUUGCACUGCUAACCCUAACCCUAACCCUGGCUCUUGUGAUACAAGGUCAAGUUUAGGGAGCGCCGUUCAAGCUCUGGUGUCUCUGAUUUAACCACACUCAGCCACGCAGUACUGGCUCACUGCCACGUCCCUUGUGCCACGGGGCACUUGGUGCUGGCUCUCUGUCACAGGCCUGGCAUCUGCCUGGAUCAGACUGGCCCUGAGAUGGGAGGGCCUGGGUUGUAUACCAAUGCACCCUGUCUGUACUGGAUAUCGUGCAGACCCACACCCUGAACCUGGGGGCUCUGGGCCGGCAGCUGUGGUGUGUGCAGCAAUGAGCCAGAGGGGGCAUCCACCUCAGUCUGAGGCCAUGCCCCUGACCCCAUGGGGAAUAGGGAACCAAGCAGACGGCCCCCUCCGGCCCCCGUGCCAAAGGCCCACUGGGCCAGGGCCUCGGGGCUCGCUAAAAUAUUUCUCUCCCACCUCGGGAUUUUCUGGGAACCCAGGGUCCUCACCCCCAGGAGAAGGGUCCCUCCUGGCCCCCCCCACCAGUCUUCCAAAACCCUCUUCCCCCAAAAGAGGGGUCUGUCCAGGCCUUGGAGUCAGAUUUUAGCUUUUGCGUCGUGGAAGGAAAGCUGGCCUUUGCACAGUGUCCUGAACCCAGUGCCCUGCCUGUCCCCCACGGGGCCAGCCCCUCUUCCGGUAGGUCUCAGCCUUCCUGACCUCACCGGCCAGGCUGCCCGCCUAAGUGCCCUCAGGCACUCUUGAGUCCUCGGCCCGGUUGAUUUUACUCUGGGUGAUGCUUAUUUGCUCCCCGUUGGAUUCACCCAUUCAACCCAAAGCUCAGGUAAGGGAGGAGGUGGGACGGACACUGUCAAGCACCCUGGCCAGUGAGUGUACAAACGUCUGCGAAAUGAAUGAAUGGAUCGACACGGGCCUCCUCUGUCUACUGUCAGGUGCCUCGUUGAUCUCUGUUUUCUCCCUGUAUGUUUCUCUCCAUCUGUUUGUUGCUGUCUUUGUAGGUCGCUCUCUUCAACACUACCCCUCGCUCUCUGCACCCCCCUACCUCACGCCUCCUCUCUCUGCCUCCUCCUCCGACUCUCCGCUGGAAUCUGUCAAGAACAGAGAGAGGCAUGUAAUUGAGUUGGGGCCGUCUCCAUGGCUGCAGCCGUGGAGUAACUGAAAGAUCAAUUCGGAAAGACUGUCUCUGUAAUAAUUGCGCCUUAAUAGUUUCUGCGCGGCAGAGUGGGGCUUGGUGUGAGGCUGUCAGGACAACCUCGGGACCCUGGCAGGAAAAGGCCACCUGGAGCCCCCCCCCCCACCCGCCUCGCCACCCCCCUGCAGCCACCGUAUCCCUGGGCCAGGCUCUGGAGGGGACUUGGCCUCAGCCAGAAACAGGAGGGGAGUGGGAGCAGGGGAGACAGGCCGGUCUCACCCUGCCCACACACACAGCUGUCCCUGCCCCCUGCUCUUACCCACUGUGCCCCGCUCCUGUUUAUAAUUUAUGCUUAUGAUCGGAAUUAUCAGCAAUAAUGAUAACAUGAUUAUAAUUGCCAAGC